RNAcentral lists this ribosomal RNA (274 nucleotides) under uncultured bacterium. Its description in RNAcentral is "partial 16S ribosomal RNA". It matches the Rfam family "Bacterial small subunit ribosomal RNA", at positions 523 to 796 of the family's 1533-position model. The record is from RNAcentral.
AUACGGAGGGGGCUAGCGUUGUUCGGAAUUACUGGACGUAAAGCGCGCGUAGGCGGCUUAUCAAGUUAGGCGUGAAAGGCCUGGGCUCAACCCGGGAACUGCGCUUAAUACUGGUAGACUUGAGUCCGGGAGAGGGUGGCGGAAUUCCCAGUGUAGAGGUGAAAUUCGUAGAUAUUGGGAAGAACACCAGUGGCGAAGGCGGCCACCUGGCCCGGUACUGACGCUGAGGUGCGAAAGCGUGGGGAGCAAACAGGAUUAGAUACCCCAGUAGUCC